UGAGCCGAGGCGAUGAGACCCUACAGAGGCAGGCCGCCGCGGUGGAGCACACCGGCCUGUCCGGCGGCCGGAUCGAGUGCGCCGCCGCCGUACUUCUCCACUCCCUCGCCCUUCUCCCCCGCGCCGCCUCCGCCCCUGUUAGCUCGCCGUCUGCCUCGGCUCGCCCUCGCUGCCGACCUCGGCCUCCGCCUCGUCCACGUCGAUGCCAACCGCGCAGAGGAGGUGGCGUCUAGAUGAUGGGUGCCGCUAUAAGUGGGAGGGAUCAAAGUUCCCGAUUUGCCUCUCCUGACCAGGAUCCUAAAAAUAAGCAAGUAUGUCUUGUUGACCUAACGGUGGAAUCAUAGUCAAGGAAACAGGUGGAGUUGAGUCCAGAGCUUGAUAAAAAACCUGUUGAUUUGCUGAAAGAUGACUUUGUUGUAGCCUUGCAUGCAAGAGAUAAUCUAGGAUUUCAUGUAGCUCGACAGAGGGUUUCUGAGAUGGCUGGUUCCCUUGACACAAUACCUAAUGCAACAAAAAGAGAUCCUGCUGCAAAAGUUCCUUGUUGCUUUUAGCAGCAAGGUACUCCAUUAGAACAUCCCACUAAUGACCCUACUUCUGAAAGGAAAAACAAAUCCAGCUUAUCAACACUUAUUUAUCCAGGACAAACUUGGAUUACAGUCUUUUUCUGCUGGUUAGUAUGAUUACCUUGUUUUCAGUUUAUUGUAGAGGAGCAGUGGCAUUCUUUGAUUUCAUGUUCUUAAAAUGGAUUAAUAUGGUGCAAUUUUAGAACAAGAGAAAACUUGAUGACUAACAAGGCUAAGCACAAACAACCAGAAACCUUAGCAACCAAAGAAAACCUUCAUGAUUAGAGGAUUUGUGGUUAGACUGUUGUUGCUGGUGAAGAAUUAGAUGUAUGGGAAGGCUAGGUUAUGAAGUCCUAUCAGUUAAUGUAUUUGACUUGUGAUUUUUCCUCCUUUCAAGAACUAUUGCAGGUUAAUGUACCCCUUGGCUUUUAUUCAGUUUACCGCAAGGCUUAAUUUUUUAUCCUCUUUACAUUAUUAGAUCUUGGAAUUUGUAUUUGCAGCCAUAGUUUAGAUGUAUGGAACAGAUGGAUGCUAGAAGGUUGUGUCCUGGAACAUUUAAAACUUGUCUACUGCAGAAAACCAUUGGUUGUUGGGCCAUUUCAGCCCCUAUCCUUCCAAUUAUUCCUCACCAAAAUGUCCAUCAUUCAAGCGGCUGUCUUGGAUGUAAGCAUCAAGAUUCUUGCAGUGGUGGGUGAAGAUGGUGUUACUAGAUGUUUUGAUUAAGUUUUCUUUUGCAGGAACUGCUUGAAGUGAAGCCACUGAUCCUUGUUUUGGCAGAUGACGAACUCCCUCCGCUGCGUCCAUGAAAUGGAGCAUGACCACGAGCACAGACACCGGAACACUCAACGACACCCUCACCGUCAACCCUACCCCCACUGUAGGCUGCUCCUUGAGCGGAUCAAUCUGCAGCAACCCCGAUAUAUCGCAGGAAUCUGAUUCAAAGAACUUGUGGCGGUAGUGCUUGUUCCACUCCAUCCUCGCCGGAGAUGCCUUAUCAACCCCGACCAUCACCUCCAUCUUCCCGUUGCACUGUAUGUUCUCCUCAUCAAUGCCUUCUUCUUCGUGGGCAGCAUGCACACUUGCCGCACAUCCUCUGCUGUGUCGAUGAAGCUCAAGUCGCCGCCACCGCUGCUGUCGCAAGCUGAUUUGUUGCCAUGAGGAGGAUAGUUGAAGCCCCUGAAGGAUCACAGGAGAACAGAAGGAAGCAGCUCGCAUGUUGGUGAACUGGGAAUUAGGUGCACAGGAGUUCACUCGCGGCAUGGCUGUCGGUCCCCCACGAUCCCGAGGAGCAGGCGGAGAGGAGGACGGAAGAGCCAGGCAAAAGAACAAACACAGUGUGCGCAUCAUCGUCUCCUUGUUCCCUUGCUUAGCGCUCUCGCCAUGUGACCUGUAUGGUCCCGAGCUGACCCCGUUGCCCUCCUUCCACCUUCCUGCCUGUAGCCGGAACGAUCCAGAUCUCACCAAGAGCUGUCUUCAUCUUUUUGUGAGGACAGACUCCAUGGCCCAGCACUUGUCUGCCUUCUCCUCGCUUUCUGCAUCCGCGGCCUCAAAUGAAACAGUGAGUGGGUGAGUGGCUCCUUUCCCUCGCCUUCACUCCAUAUCCUCAAGCAAACUCACACGCUCGGUGCUCAUCGAAGACAGAUUGUGCAUCACAAAUUGACGCCUGUCGGCACACCGCGACAUUGGCGUCGCGUGCUUUGGGGAUAGAGUGAGCAGGCGGAUGACAGCCACCGGAUUGAUCUCCAUCCUACAGCAUGAAUGGGAGGAAGCUUUUGCUAUGGAAUGUGUCACCGCAUGGGGGCCUAAGUAGUUGUAUCUCAUCGAGCAGUACUGAGAAAACAGUGGAUUUUUCCUGGUAAUGAGACGUCCUUUGGUACUCGGAUUAUAUUUAAUUGCCAUGAUUAGCUACUGUAGAUCACUGUAAUACGAACUGAUUGACAUCAAGAUUUGAUCUUCUUGUUGACU
Long non-coding RNA from Musa acuminata AAA Group (dessert banana), 2528 nucleotides. RefSeq lists it as uncharacterized. Lineage: Eukaryota; Viridiplantae; Streptophyta; Magnoliopsida; Zingiberales; Musaceae. The transcript is spliced from 5 exons. The record is from RefSeq and is a predicted model, not a curated record.